Molecule: RNA transcript, 2186 nt
Organism: Rosa rugosa (rugosa rose)
Lineage: Eukaryota; Viridiplantae; Streptophyta; Magnoliopsida; Rosales; Rosaceae
Gene name: G-box-binding factor 4
Exons: 4
Source: RefSeq, a predicted model, not a curated record
UUGGUGGGUUCCUCCUCCUUAUAAUAUGGGUAGGUCCGGAGCAAUACUGUCAAAUCGUAAAAUGUAACUCUCUCUCUCUCUCUGUGAAAAGUGAGUCCAAAUAAACAAACAGACACGUACUGCUGCUGAAAAACUCAAAACCGCUCCCCCCACAUUUGCUGAUCCCAACACAACAGUAAACCCAAACCCUACACAGUCGACGCCAUUUUGGCUUCGCCGGAAAACAUGGCGUCGUCGAAGCUGAUCUCGUCGUCGUCAAAUUCCCGCAACUCCGACCUCUCCCGACGCCCCUCUUCCAAUUCCACAAAACCCUCACCCUCCUCCUCCUCCGCCGCCGCCAACCAAGCCCUAAACACCACCACCGCCGCCGCCGGCUACAUUAAUCCCACGCCGGUCCAGCUCGGCUCGAUGGCCGUCAACGGCCUCUUCUACAACAACAGCCUUUCCACCUCGGAGCUCGAAGCGCAAAUAAACCUGAUCGACACCGCCGGCUUGGAAAUCAACUCCGCCGCCAGCGUCAGCUCGCCCCCGCCGCCGCCGAGGCCGAAGACGGUCGACGAGGUCUGGCAGGAGAUUGUGUCCGGCGAGAGCCGGAAGGGGUGUAAAGAAGAGGUGACUGAUGAGUUGAUGACUCUCGAGGACUUUCUGGCUCGGGCCGGCGCGGUGGAGGAUAACGACAUUAAGGAUUUUCACCUUGUGCCGCCGCCGCCGCCGGAGACGGAGAGGUUGAGCGGAGGACUGAGCGGAGGGAUGUUUGGGUUCGAUCAGAUCGCACUGAGCCCGUUCCAGUCGAUUGAGAAGAUUGAAAAGGUUGAGGGAUCCAUAGUUGGCUUCGGAAAUGGUGCUGAGGUGGUGGCGAGUGGAGGAGGGAGGGGGAGAGGGAAGAGAGCCAGGGCUGUUUUGGAGCCAAUGGAUAAGGCUGCACAGCAGAGGCAGAGGAGGAUGAUCAAGAAUCGGGAGUCGGCGGCACGGUCCAGAGAGAGGAAGCAGGCUUACCAAGUUGAAUUGGAGUCGAUGGCGGUUAGAUUAGAGGAGGAGAACGAGCGGCUUUUGAAAGAGAAGGGCAUUUUGUAUAUUCAGCGGGUGCCUUAUGUGGGUAAAGGGUUGGUUGUUCAAAAGGGGAAGAACUUCGGACUUUGGUUAGAAGUCCGAGCUAAGGAAAGUAAUGGUUUGAAUUGAAAGAAGUUUCUUGCCAAAAGAAAAGAAAUUUGGAAGGGGCGAUAAAGUUCAAUAUCUAUGGAUACAAAGGUGGAUUUAAAAAGUAAACAGGAUGUUUUCUUGGAGUCGUAGCUGUGGUGUAUUUGAUUGGUAUUAUUUUCUUUAUCCUUUUCGAAUCAGAGAGAAGAAAAGAACCAGAUUUAAAUUUGAAGAAGAAAUAUUUAGAAAGAGGGAUAUGGGAUUUCAAGAUUGAGAAAACAUGAAGAAAGCAUAUGAAAAGUUCGAACAAACAAAAGAUUGGGAGGUUAAUCCUAUAUAGAAACAAGAAGAUGCUUGAAAGAAUGAAAUAGAUAAUGGAGAAUCAAAGAUGCUGGGUUUGAGAGAGUUGAUAAACAAUGAAAGGAAGAAUCAUAAUAUACUCAUGACUGCAAGUUCCAAUUUGAAGAAUCGGAUGUUUUGUAAGUUGCAGUAUUGCACAAUAAAUUUUAAAAGCAGAGGCUUGGGGAUUUGCGAGUAGAGUUCAUGUUGCUAUUUAUUGAGAGUUGAGAUUUAGAUUCUGAAAUGAGAAUUAGAUAAGAAUCAGAUGCAACUGGAAGAUGUUACCCCUUUGGAAUUGAAGUCCUUUGCCUCCUUUGGAACGACAAAGCCUUGACCUCACAUAAAGCACCCCUGAAAAUAUGAAAACGCCUUCAAAAAUAUGGGUAUGAAGGUGCUUGUAUGUGCCAUGUCAUUAAUUUGGCUGAAGGUGUGUAUGACAUUAUGUGAGAGUGUUACUUGUCACAUGGUUAAGUACCGAGAAAACAAAAGCUCAGACGGUUGAGUGCACCACGUGUGAUACUUUGGUAGGGUUUUUGUAAUUUAGCCAAAAAAAGUCAAAAAUUGUGCAUGCUUUCUAUAAGAAAACCCAUUUCACGUAUUUCUGUCAUUCAGAUACGAAGUUCCAGCUAGGCCAGGACCACCUACAGCUUUGUCCUCUCAUCAGCCACCAAUGCUACUUGGCUGAGAGGACCGAGGAAAGACUUAAGCAG